AUAUACCUAGACAUUGUCUCAUAGGUUAAGUAAACAUGUAUCUGUGGAAGUUUUUUGUGUGAAUGUUUUCUGACCAAAUCUUGGCAAAGAUUAUGCUUGCUUGUCUUUAAAUACCCACUAACAAUAAAGCACAGCAUGCAGUGACAAUUGCUGUUUGCAUGCUGCAUCCCCUGUGUCCUGGUGAUUUUGUGACCCUUACCCAGGGACCCCAACACACUAGACAUUGACAAUUGGCGCUCGAACAGGGACCUUGCAUUGUUGAAUUCAGGAAGGGAUAUUCAGGAUGGCAAACAAUACUGGCUUCCUGCAGGAUGGAUACAGACGCUGCCCGGUGAGGACAGCCCCGUAUCCUUCAAGGAAUUGGCCACCAGUUGAGGAAAAAGAAAUCCCCACUGCCCACCUGGGGGCAGGUUAAGAAGUUGACUGGAGAAGGACAAAAGAUGUUACAACGCACUGGAUGCUGGAUGCCAUUAAUGGAUCGCUUACUGGAGCUCAAUUGAUGGCCUGGGGAGAUGGAGGCAUUGCAGAUGCUCGAUGGGCUUUCAUGGCUGCACCCACUGCUGUUCAGACUCAUCUUUGGAAGGUCACAGUGGCGCUAAAACCCGUGAUGCUAUCAAAUGGAUCGUUUUCAAGGACGGCGAACUCUGUGUCCAUUUAUAAUUUUACUUUGUAUAAAUCUUAUAAUGUAACUGCUUGUGUACCCCUGCCUUAUGUAUUUUUGGUGGGAAACUUUACAUUUUCUCCUACUAUUUCUUGUUUUAAUUGUCGCCUGUAUUCUUGUGUUAAUUCCUCUCUUAAUUUUAAUGACAGUCAUAAUAUUAUGAUUUUAAAACAAAGAACUUAUAUUUGGCUACCUGUUAAAUUAGGAAGAGAAUGGUCC
Molecule: long non-coding RNA, 880 nt
Organism: Dipodomys ordii (Ord's kangaroo rat)
Lineage: Eukaryota; Metazoa; Chordata; Mammalia; Rodentia; Heteromyidae
Exons: 3
Source: RefSeq, a predicted model, not a curated record